AAGCUGGAGCUUGCUCUAGUGGAUUAGUGGCGAACGGGUGAGGUAACACGUGAGCAAUCUGCCCUUGACUCUGGGAUAACUGCGGGAAACUGUAGCCAAUACCGGAUACGACACCUUGGGGCAUCCCGAGGUGUUGGAAAGAAUUCCGGUCAAGGAUGGGCUCGCGGCCUAUCAGCUUGUUGGUGAGGUAAAGCUCACCAAGGCGACGACGGGUAGCCGGCCUGAGAGGGUGACCGGCCACACUGGAACUGAGAUACGGUCCAGACUCC
RNAcentral lists this ribosomal RNA (269 nucleotides) under unidentified marine bacterioplankton. Its description in RNAcentral is "partial 16S ribosomal RNA". It matches the Rfam family "Bacterial small subunit ribosomal RNA", at positions 70 to 339 of the family's 1533-position model. The record is from RNAcentral.